UGCCAGCCGCCGCGGUAAUACAGAGAGUGCGAACGUUGUUCGGAAUUACUGGGCUUAAAGCGCGCGUAGGCGGCGUAACAAGUGUCGGGUGAAAUCCCACGGCUCACCCGUGGAACUGCCCGGCAAACUGUUAUGCUAGAGUGUGGUAGGGGAGAACAGAACUCAUGGUGGAGCGGUGAAAUGCGUAGAUAUCAUGAGGAAUACCGGUGGCGAAGGCGGCUUUCUGGAUCUCUUCUGACGCUGAGGGACGAAAGCUAGGGGAGCGAACAGGAUUAGAUA
This 279-nucleotide ribosomal RNA is filed under the name uncultured bacterium. RNAcentral describes it as "partial 16S ribosomal RNA". It matches the Rfam family "Bacterial small subunit ribosomal RNA", at positions 506 to 784 of the family's 1533-position model. The record is from RNAcentral.